This is a small nuclear RNA of Gorilla gorilla gorilla (western lowland gorilla), 131 nucleotides long. The record is from Ensembl. NCBI's taxonomy places the organism in Eukaryota, Metazoa, Chordata, Mammalia, Primates, Hominidae.
UUGUCGCAUGAAAGGAAAGAAGGUUAGCAUUCCCCUUGACAAACCUAGAAGAGGCUCUUGGGCUUAUCUUGGGUCUUAAAUAUUGUGUAGCUUAAGAAAAACCACUUAACCUCUCUGAGCCUCAUUUUUUU